UACGGAGGGGGCUAGCGUUGUUCGGAAUACUGGGCGUAAAGCGUCCGCAGGCGGAUAUUUAAGUUAGAGGUGAAAUCCCGGGGCUCAACCCCGGAACUGCCUUUAAAACUGGGUAUCUAGAGUUAUGGAGAGGUAAGUGGAAUUCCUAGUGUAGAGGUGAAAUUCGUAGAUAUUAGGAGGAACACCAGAGGCGAAGGCGGCUUACUGGACAUUAACUGACGCUGAGGGACGAAAGUGUGGGUAGCAAACG
This 250-nucleotide ribosomal RNA is filed under the name uncultured bacterium. Its description in RNAcentral is "partial 16S ribosomal RNA". It matches the Rfam family "Bacterial small subunit ribosomal RNA", at positions 524 to 774 of the family's 1533-position model. The record is from RNAcentral.